RNAcentral lists this ribosomal RNA (225 nucleotides) under uncultured bacterium. Its description in RNAcentral is "partial 16S ribosomal RNA". It matches the Rfam family "Bacterial small subunit ribosomal RNA", at positions 524 to 745 of the family's 1533-position model. The record is from RNAcentral.
UACGUAGGGUGCAAGCGUUGUCCGGAAUUAUUGGGCGUAAAGAGCUCGUAGGCGGUCUGUCGCGUCUGCUGUGAAGACUCAGGGCUUAACCCUGAGCUUGCAGUGGGUACGGGCAGACUAGAGUGCGGUAGGGGAGACUGGAAUUCCUGGUGUAGCGGUGAAAUGCGCAGAUAUCAGGAGGGAACACCGGUGGGCGGAAGGCGGGUCUCUGGGCCGAUACUGACG